UUCAUUGUGUUAUUAUAUGAUAUCAUAUAGUCAUAUAUAAUAUUUUUAUUUACAAAGUUAUAAAAAAGGUGUCAAAUUAUUUUGGUAAUAAAUUUCUUAUCUAUGUUAUUUUUGUAGACAACUUAAUUAAAUUUUAAAUUUUAAUAAAACUUUAUUAUAUUUGUUAAAGAGUUUCAAUAGUAUCUAUGUUUUUUUUUUUUUUUUUUUUUUUUUUUUUUUUUUUAUUAACAACAGAAAAUGCAUUACUUCAACAAAUGUUAGUUUUUUACAUAUUAUCAAACUAUUAGUUUACAGAGUUUGAUAAAAUAAAUAAACAAGGUUGCCACUCAACCUGGAAAGCCUAGAAUACCUGGAAAUAGCAUGAAUCCCAGGGAAAACCUGGAAUACUCAGGGAUUUUCUAAAAUCUUCAUAAAAUUCAGGGAAAAAUUUUUUUUUUUUAAUUUUGUACAAUAAUUUUUGUUUUUCAAAAAUAUUUUGCUAAUACAUAUAAUAAUAAGUUUGCUAAUUGUGGGUGUUGUUGUAAAAGUUUUAGUUUGUCAAAUAUAAAGAUUAUGUUUGAUUAAGGAAAAUAAUAAUCACGUUGAUAAACAAGAAAGAAAAUAGAAAAGUCAGGGAAAACUCGCGGAACUCAAAGAGUUCAACUCAGGGAAAAACGUUCUUUACUCAGGGAAUACUCAGGGAAAAUCUUUAAAAAUUAUAGUAGCAACCCUGAUAAAAUAAUUUCUGUAUAUUAAAAACAUAUAGAAUUUGCAAAAUAUACAGUUUUUUUCUAAUAUUGAUCUGGGCUUCUGUGAAUGUAAAUAGAAGAUGGGCUGUGAAUGUCUAGGAAAUGUCAAUGUUAUUAUGAUAGCACAUAUUUUUAGAACAAGAAUAGUGUGUUUUACAUUAUUUUCAUUAAAAGUUUAUGAAUAUAUAUGAUAAAAAACAUUUUUAAAACUACAUAUACUGUAGUGUGACAUGAUUUGGAAUAAAUAUACAUUUAAAGGAUUUUUCACAUAAACUUCAUUUGGUACCUCAAUGGCAGUUUGUUUUUAUUUUUAUUUUCAUUUAUCUGUUGAUUAGUAGGAUAAUAUGUACUAGUGAUAAUAUUUAUAUAUGGUAAAGCAUGUAUUUUAUUCAUGCAAUAUGAUUUAACUACAUAACAUAUUUCAAUACAUAACGUAUUGAAAUAUGUUAUGUUAGACUAAUCAUGAAUAUAACUAUUAUAUAUAAUAAUAUAAGUACUCUACACUUGUUUAUAAUUGUAAAUUUUCGUUGUGAAAAUAAUUUUAUUACAAAAUUUAUUGUGGUAAAAAUUACAAAUGUUUUUAAUUUUUUUCAAUGUUUAAAUUGUAACAAAUAAUUAUUUUCAAGUAAUAAUGUAACCUAAAAUGAUUAUUGUUUAAUUAGGUACAAUCAAAAUGUUAGUGAUGUUGAUUAUUUUUGCAUUUAUUAAAUUAUAUAAAAGAUAUUAAACCUUCACCAACUGAUUUAAUGGUUUGAUGUCAGAUUCCCUGGAGGAUGUCUGUUAAAAAGAAAAACUGAAGAAACUUUAAAACUAAAUGAUGCCAACUAAAGAAGUUCGAGGCUUAUCGAGGCAUAUCGAGGCUUCAGUUCUCCAGUAUUUAUUAUUAAAUUUUAUUAUAUAUGUUAUGAUUAUUUUAUUUUUUAUAUUGUUAUUUUUGUAACAACAAACUAUGUGAAUAAUUAAUUGUCCUGCCCUGGGCCUCUACUUUAAUCUGACUAUUAUUAUAACACAUAUAUCGAUUUAUAUAUUGUAUUGAGUUAGCUUGUGAUUUGUACGUGUGUUUUUGUUUGCCUAGUGUUUGUUAGUUAUAUGCAAGAUAUGGCAUGGUAUGGCACGCUGCAUGGUAUGCCCUAAAUAAUAUUAUCAAUAAAUAUUUUUAUCUAUACUUUGUAAAUAUAUAUGCUAUACUUUAUUAUAUUA
Molecule: non-coding RNA, 1928 nt
Organism: Hydra vulgaris (swiftwater hydra)
Lineage: Eukaryota; Metazoa; Cnidaria; Hydrozoa; Anthoathecata; Hydridae
Source: RefSeq, a predicted model, not a curated record